Molecule: long non-coding RNA, 497 nt
Filed under: Hordeum vulgare
Lineage: Eukaryota; Viridiplantae; Streptophyta; Magnoliopsida; Poales; Poaceae
Description: long non-coding RNA (HVUL_LNC005862)
Source: RNAcentral
GACGGCGAUCAAGAAAUGGGUCACGGACUACUGCGCGAUAUACUACGCCGACGGGGACCGCGCCGUCGCGGCCGACAGCGAGCUGCAGGCGUGGUGGAGCGAGGUGCGAAACGUGGGCCACGGCGACCUGAGCGACGCGCCGUGGUGGCCGGCCAUGGACUGCGUCGACGACCUCGUGGAGACCUGCGCCACCAUCAUCUGGCUCGGUUCGGCUUACCACUCGGCCGUCAGCUUCGGGCAGUACGCGUACAAUGGCUUCGUCCCCAACCGCCCCACCAUCACCUCCGGGGAGAUGCCGGCCGACUCCGGGGCGGUGGUGACCGAGGCCGAAUUCCUCGGCAGCAUCACCCCGAGGACCGAGACGUUCGCCCUCAUGGCGCUCACCAUGAACCCACCCGUGAAGCCCGGAGAGCCGCUCAUGGGGGAGCGGCCCGACACGGAGCGGUGGACGAGCGAGCAGCGGGCGGCCAAGGCGCUGCUCGAGUUCAACGCGAAGC